GGCCCCGUCGUCUAACGGUUAGGACGCUACCCUUUCACGGUGGAAAAAGGGGUUCGAUUCCCCUCGGGGCUA
Molecule: transfer RNA, 72 nt
Filed under: Candidatus Spechtbacteria bacterium RIFCSPHIGHO2_01_FULL_43_30
Lineage: Bacteria; Candidatus Spechtiibacteriota
Also listed under: 1 other name
Description: tRNA-Glu
Rfam family: tRNA
About the family: Transfer RNA (tRNA) molecules are approximately 80 nucleotides in length. Their secondary structure includes four short double-helical elements and three loops (D, anti-codon, and T loops).
Source: RNAcentral